RNAcentral lists this unclassified non-coding RNA (395 nucleotides) under soil metagenome. RNAcentral describes it as "partial contains 5.8S ribosomal RNA, internal transcribed spacer 2, and large subunit ribosomal RNA". The stretch from base 1 to 122 matches the Rfam family "5.8S ribosomal RNA", at positions 35 to 154 of the family's 154-position model. The record is from RNAcentral.
GAUGAAGAACGCAGCGAAAUGCGAUACUUGGUGUGAAUUGCAGAAUCCCGUGAACCAUCGAGUCUUUGAACGCAAGUUGCGCCCGAAGCCAUCAGGUUGAGGGCACGUCUGCCUGGGCGUCACAUAUCGUUGUCCAAUGCCUAUUGCAGUGCAAUAGGAAUUUCUAGGGCGAAUGAUGGCUUCCCGUGAGCGUUGUUGCCUCGCGGUUGGUUGAAAAUCGAGUCCUUGGUAGGGUGUGCCAUGGUAGAUGGUGGUCGAGUUAGAACGAUACCGAUCAUGUGCAUGCUCCCCAAAAUAUGGCCUCUAUGACCCACACGCGUCUUUUGACGCUCAUGACGAGACCUCAGGUCAGGCGGGGCUACCCGCUGAAUUUAAGCAUAUCAAUAAGCGGAGGA